ACUUGGCUGUACAUCUCAAAGUUAGUUUGAAAUGUUAAACUUCCAAUAGAAAUAGAACUCUUCAUACCUUAAGUUGGUAUGGAAGUUCUGAAGAAGGGCAGGGUGUUUAUCAUAGGGCAUUUAUAGUGUUAAUAGUAAGGGUCCUAUAUAUAGUCAGUGCUUUAACUAGAGAUACACCUUUUGAUAAGCUUAAGUGGGGUAUAUGUCUUGAUUGUACAUUGAGCUCUGCCAUCCUUGAUCGUUCAGAGUGAAAAUGCCUGUACUUAUAUCUUAUGGAUGGUAUAACUUAAUUAAGCAAACAUUAUGCUUUGCAGUUUGCGCUAAAAGAUGCAGAGCAAAGCUGGAAUUUGCUCAAUUUCAAAGCUUAAAUGAUAAUUUAUCUAAAGUGUCAAAUUACAGAUGUAUGGUCAUGAUUAGCUAAUUUGUGCCUGUUAUCAUGCAUUGUUUUACCUACCUAGGUCAUAAACUUUGGUCUGCCUCUCAAGAUUUGAAACGUAUUUAGGAGAACUUGUUAAUUGAGAAGUUGUAAAUAGCUAGCAAUUAUUUACGUCUUUUGGGAUAGAACAGAUUUGGAGCUUGUACAACAUUAUUAUAAUGAGAAGAAUGUAAAUGUGCAUAGAUCAGGUGCUAAUAGAAGUGUUUCUGCGUUCUCACAUGUGUCAUCAUUAACUAUCACAGCUCAAUCUGUUUUAUUUGAAAUAAAUUAUACUGGUAGAAAUUGAAUUUACUGUGGUGCUGUGCUAUUAUUGGUAUAAGCAACUGUUUCUCUUAAGAUGAUUGUCUGUAAUGCUUAUGGUUUACAAUAUCUUGAACUUUGCAGGGCCCAAACCCACUUUCAUGUAAGAAGAAGAAGAGCUGUGAAAAACCAAAUGUUGUUUUGGAGAAGGUAAAGAAAGAUGGAGAAAAUUCUGUGAGAAGCAGAAGCAGGAAAAGGAAGAGAUCACGCGGAGGCAAAAAGCUGGCAGAGAAAGAUGGUUAAUGUUGCUACUUGCUACACUCAAUGCCGGAUCUUAAGUUAGGGCAAAGUGGGGGUAUGGAAAAUUGCUUUAUUCUUCUUGCUUGGAACAAGGGUGUCCACUACAGACAUUGACAUCUGAUUCAUGAGAGAUUAUGAUGAGAAAGAGCGGACUAGAAAAUACAUAAUAGAUUUGGGAUUUAUGGGACCGACUUGUUUUUGUGUUGUUGUUGCUGUUUGGGACCGUGGGUGUACAUCCUUUUAAUUACAUUACAAUCUGAAAACUAACUA
This is a non-coding RNA of Corylus avellana, 1246 nucleotides long. The record is from RefSeq and is a predicted model, not a curated record. Lineage: Eukaryota; Viridiplantae; Streptophyta; Magnoliopsida; Fagales; Betulaceae.